RNAcentral lists this ribosomal RNA (301 nucleotides) under uncultured bacterium. Its description in RNAcentral is "partial 16S ribosomal RNA". It matches the Rfam family "Bacterial small subunit ribosomal RNA", at positions 509 to 809 of the family's 1533-position model. The record is from RNAcentral.
CAGCAGCCACGGUAAAACAGAGGGUGCGAGCGUUAAUCGGAUUUACUGGGCGUAAAGCGUGCGUAGGCGGCUUUUUAAGUCGGAUGUGAAAUCCCUGAGCUUAACUUAGGAAUUGCAUUCGAUACUGGGAAGCUAGAGUAUGGGAGAGGAUGGUAGAAUUCCAGGUGUAGCGGUGAAAUGCGUAGAGAUCUGGAGGAAUACCGAUGGCGAAGGCAGCCAUCUGGCCUAAUACUGACGCUGAGGUACGAAAGCAUGGGGAGCAAACAGGAUUAGAUACCCCCGUAGUCCCUGUCUCUUAUAU